UACAGAGGGUGCGAGCGUUAAUCGGAAUUACUGGGCGUAAAGCGUGCGUAGACGGUUAUGUAAGUCGGAUGUGAAAGCCCCGGGCUCAACCUGGGAACUGCAUUCGAGACUGCAUAGCUAGGAUGCGGAAGAGGGAAGUGGAAUUUCCGGUGUAGCGGUGAAAUGCGUAGAUAUCGGAAGGGACAUCAGUGGCGAAAGCGACUUCCUGGUCCAGCAUCGACGUUCAGGCACGAAAGCGUGGGGAGCAGACAGG
Molecule: ribosomal RNA, 253 nt
Filed under: uncultured bacterium
Lineage: Bacteria
Description: partial 16S ribosomal RNA
Rfam family: Bacterial small subunit ribosomal RNA
Source: RNAcentral